RNAcentral lists this ribosomal RNA (253 nucleotides) under uncultured bacterium. Its description in RNAcentral is "partial 16S ribosomal RNA". It matches the Rfam family "Bacterial small subunit ribosomal RNA", at positions 524 to 776 of the family's 1533-position model. The record is from RNAcentral.
UACAGAGACCUCAAGCGUUAUCCGGAAUCAUUGGGCGUAAAGCGUGCGCAGGCGGUUAUGCAAGACAGAUGUGAAAUCCCCGGGCUCAACCUGGGAACUGCAUUUGUGACUGCAUAGCUAGAGUACGGUAGAGGGGGAUGGAAUUCCGCGUGUAGCAGUGAAAUGCGUAGAUAUGCGGAGGAACACCGAUGGCGAAGGCAAUCCCCUGGACCUGUACUGACGCUCAUGCACGAAAGCGUGGGGAGCAAACAGG